This 73-nucleotide transfer RNA is filed under the name Neosynechococcus sphagnicola sy1. It matches the Rfam family "tRNA". Rfam says of the family: Transfer RNA (tRNA) molecules are approximately 80 nucleotides in length. The record is from Rfam by way of RNAcentral. Lineage: Bacteria; Bacillati; Cyanobacteriota; Cyanophyceae; Neosynechococcales; Neosynechococcaceae.
GCUCUCGUAGCUCAGUGGAUAGAGCAACCGCCUUCUAAGCGGUCGGUCGUUGGUUCGAGUCCAACCGAGAGCG